RNAcentral lists this ribosomal RNA (400 nucleotides) under Shewanella sp. RNAcentral's name for it is "bacterial SSU rRNA". It matches the Rfam family "Bacterial small subunit ribosomal RNA", at positions 348 to 741 of the family's 1533-position model. The record is from RNAcentral. Lineage: Bacteria; Pseudomonadati; Pseudomonadota; Gammaproteobacteria; Alteromonadales; Shewanellaceae.
GCAGCAGUGGGGAUAUUGCACAAUGGGGGAAACCCUGAUGCAGCCAUGCCGCGUGUGUGAAGAAGGCCUUCGGGUUGUAAAGCACUUUCAGUAGGGAGGAAAGGGUGUAGUUUAAUACGCUAUAUCUGUGACGUUACCUACAGAAGAAGGACCGGCUAACUCCGUGCCAGCAGCCGCGGUAAUACGGAGGGUCCGAGCGUUAAUCGGAAUUACUGGGCGUAAAGCGUGCGCAGGCGGUUUGUUAAGCGAGAUGUGAAAGCCCUGGGCUCAACCUAGGAAUAGCAUUUCGAACUGGCGAACUAGAGUCUUGUAGAGGGGGGUAGAAUUCCAGGUGUAGCGGUGAAAUGCGUAAAGAUCUGGAGGAAUACCGGUGGCGAAGGCGGCCCCCUGGACAAAGACU